UAGGGAAUAUUGGACAAUGGGGGGAACCCUGAUCCAGCCAUGCCGCGUGGAGGAAGACUGCCCUCUGGGUUGUAAACUCCUUUUAUAUGGGAAGAACCGUCCUCAUUGAUGAGUGACCUGACGGUACCAUAGGAAUAAGCACCGGCUAACUCCGUGCCAGCAGCCGCGGUAAUACGGAGGGUGCAAGCGUUAUCCGGAUUCACUGGGUUUAAAGGGUGCGUAGGCGGAUAUGUAAGUCAGUGGUGAAAUCAACGGGCUCAACCUGUUAACUGCCAUUGAUACUGUGUAUCUUGAAUAUGAGAGAGGUAGGCGGAAUGUUGCAUGUAGCAGUGAAAUGCUUAGAUAUGCUGCGGAACACCGAUUGCGAAGGCAGCUUACUAUUUCGUAAUUGACGCUGAGGCACGAAAGCGUGGGUAGCGAACA
RNAcentral lists this ribosomal RNA (423 nucleotides) under uncultured bacterium. RNAcentral's name for it is "bacterial SSU rRNA". It matches the Rfam family "Bacterial small subunit ribosomal RNA", at positions 355 to 774 of the family's 1533-position model. The record is from RNAcentral.